This 247-nucleotide ribosomal RNA is filed under the name uncultured bacterium. RNAcentral describes it as "partial 16S ribosomal RNA". It matches the Rfam family "Bacterial small subunit ribosomal RNA", at positions 523 to 769 of the family's 1533-position model. The record is from RNAcentral.
AUACGGAGACUACGAGCGUUACUCGGAUUCACUGGGCGUAAAGGGAGCGCAGGCGGAAUGGUGUGUUAGGUGUGAAAUCCCGGGGCUUAACUCCGGAAUUGCGUCUAAAACUACUAUUCUAGAGACUUGGAGAGGUAAGCGGAAUUUCUGGUGUAGCGGUAAAAUGCGUAGAUAUCAGAAGGAACACCGAUGGCGAAGGCAGCUUACUGGACAAGAUCUGACGCUCAUGCUCGAAAGCGUGGGGAGC